This 722-nucleotide ribosomal RNA is filed under the name uncultured Fusobacterium sp. RNAcentral describes it as "bacterial SSU rRNA". It matches the Rfam family "Bacterial small subunit ribosomal RNA", at positions 28 to 776 of the family's 1533-position model. The record is from RNAcentral. Lineage: Bacteria; Fusobacteriati; Fusobacteriota; Fusobacteriia; Fusobacteriales; Fusobacteriaceae.
GAUGAACGCUGACAGAAUGCUUAACACAUGCAAGUCUACUUGAACUUCGGUUUGGGUGGCGGACGGGUGAGUAACGCGUAAAGAACUUGCCUCACAGUUAGGGACAACAUUUGGAAACGAAUGCUAAUACCUGAUAUUAUGAUUUUAGGGCAUCCUAAGAUUAUGAAAGUUAUAUGCGCUGUGAGAGAGCUUUGCGUCCCAUUAGCUAGUUGGAGAGGUAACGGCUCACCAAGGCGAUGAUGGGUAGCCGGCCUGAGAGGGUGAACGGCCACAAGGGGACUGAGACACGGCCCUUACUCCUACGGGAGGCAGCAGUGGGGAAUAUUGGACAAUGGACCAAAAGUCUGAUCCAGCAAUUCUGUGUGCACGAUGACGUUUUUCGGAAUGUAAAGUGCUUUCAGUUGGGAAGAAAAAAAUGACGGUACCAACAGAAGAAGUGACGGCUAAAUACGUGCCAGCAGCCGCGGUAAUACGUAUGUCACAAGCGUUAUCCGGAUUUAUUGGGCGUAAAGCGCGUCUAGGUGGUUAUGUAAGUCUGAUGUGAAAAUGCAGGGCUCAACUCUGUAUUGCGUUGGAAACUGCAUGACUAGAGUACUGGAGAGGUAAGCGGAACUACAAGUGUAGAGGUGAAAUUCGUAGAUAUUUUGUAUGAAUGCCGAUGGGGAAGCCAGCUUACUGGACAGAUACUGACGCUAAGCGCGAAAGCGUGUGUAGCAAACAUG